GAUGAACGCUGGCGGCGUGCCUAAUACAUGCAAGUCGAGCGAACAGAUAAGGAGCUUGCUCCUUUGACGUUAGCGGCGGACGGGUGAGUAACACGUGGGUAACCUACCUAUAAGACUGGGACAACUUCGGGAAACCGGAGCUAAUACCGGAUAAUAUUUCGAACCGCAUGGUUCGAUAGUGAAAGAUGGUUUUGCUAUCACUUAUAGAUGGACCCGCGCCGUAUUAGCUAGUUGGUAAGGUAACGGCUUACCAAGGCGACGAUACGUAGCCGACCUGAGAGGGUGAUCGGCCACACUGGAACUGAGACACGGUCCAGACUCCUACGGGAGGCAGCAGUAGGGAAUCUUCCGCAAUGGGCGAAAGCCUGACGGAGCAACGCCGCGUGAGUGGUGAAGGUCUUCGGAUCGUAAAACUCUGUUAUUAGGGAAGAACAUACGUGUAAGUAACUGUGCACGUCUUGACGGUACCUAAUCAGAAAGCCACGGCUAACUACGUG
RNAcentral lists this ribosomal RNA (497 nucleotides) under uncultured bacterium. RNAcentral describes it as "partial 16S ribosomal RNA". It matches the Rfam family "Bacterial small subunit ribosomal RNA", at positions 28 to 507 of the family's 1533-position model. The record is from RNAcentral.